This 1243-nucleotide long non-coding RNA is filed under the name Oryctolagus cuniculus (rabbit). Its description in RNAcentral is "lncRNA (ENSOCUG00000029897.1)". The record is from RNAcentral. Lineage: Eukaryota; Metazoa; Chordata; Mammalia; Lagomorpha; Leporidae.
AGCAGCUGAACCCAAACAGCAGAGACUCAAAUUACAGGCUGUUUCUGGGGUACACAGGCACUCCCCACCCCACCCCCCUCCCUUUUCCUUUUUUUUUUUUUCUUUAAAAACCCCGGGCAACUGACCUGGUUUCUUAUUCCCUUUGAACUCAUGGGAGGCAGCUCUUCUUCAAAGCGGGGUUGUAAUACAGGCUCCUCUCUGGAUGUGGGUCAGGGCCACUGUUCCAUCUCCAAGACAGAGACGAGCUCGGAGCGCUGUCUUGGACGGCAGCCGUGUGGCCUGGGAGCACCUUUGGUAUUUUCUCCCUCCUUUGCUCCAAGCGCAGAAAAACAAGAAAGAAAAAGAAAGCAAGCAAGCAAGCAAGCAAGCAAGCGAGGGUAGAAGCGCUGACACUCAGAAGGCAAGACAUACAGUGGGCUCUUCGUGAACCUGAAGGUUCCUAACUGCAUCGUGGCCUCCAACCCAUCAGCCAACAAACCAGAACGUUCUGAGGCUUACGGACGUGGACACUUGGACGUCGGCUGCUAGCUCCCUGGACUCCGUCUCUCUCGUUCGUCCUGGAUCUUUUUUCUCAGUCGAGAUGCGCUGCCAGUCUCUUUAGACAACAUCAGGUCUGCAAAGCUCGCUUCAGAGAAGUGGGCGCACGGAUCUGCCACAUUCGACUUGUCGAAACCUCGCGACCGCGCUUUGGCUUUCUCCAGGCGUUAUUAACAACCGGCCUUGUGUUUGGAGACCAUUUUUUAAUUUUGCAAGGCUCUCGUGAGAACGCCAUCAGGGAGUUGUCAGAUGGAACAGUGCGGAGGAAGACGUCGGGCCACGGGGCAGGUGUGAGACGCAAAGGGGCCCUGCAUCCGGGCCACGCAGAGGUGAACACCAAUAAGAAGCAUCAGUGGGCGCCUUUGCUGGUUGGAGAGGGAAGGAAUGCCUGCCAUCAGGCUGAAGAUACAAACGGAGAGAGAGAGAGCGAUGGGCGAGUUUGCCAGCAGGAGCCCUGUGAGUGACAUGCCAUGCCUUCUGCUGGAUACGCUGAAACAACAAGGCCGGUGACUCUAACAUCCAGCAAAGAACGCCUAGAAACUGGUCCGAGAAGCAUAAGCAAUCCAUCAGAGAAAAUCAGAAGCCUUAACAGGAGACAUUCAAAUGCUCAAGAAGGUACAAAAUGUUAGUGACCAGAGAAAUGUCUAAAUUCUCACAUGGAAUUUUUUUUAAUAAAUAGAUCUUUAUUUUAUUUUUAUAAGAUUCA